This 18-nucleotide small nuclear RNA is filed under the name Arabidopsis thaliana (thale cress). RNAcentral's name for it is "snRNA_11263". The record is from RNAcentral. Lineage: Eukaryota; Viridiplantae; Streptophyta; Magnoliopsida; Brassicales; Brassicaceae.
UGCUCACUACAUGGCUGC